This 444-nucleotide ribosomal RNA is filed under the name uncultured bacterium. Its description in RNAcentral is "bacterial SSU rRNA". It matches the Rfam family "Bacterial small subunit ribosomal RNA", at positions 338 to 795 of the family's 1533-position model. The record is from RNAcentral.
CCUACGGGAGGCUGCAGUCGAGAAUCUUCCGCAAUGGACGAAAGUCUGACGGAGCGACGCCGCGUGGUGGAUGAAGUCCUUAGGGACGUAAACACCUUUUAUGAGUGAAGAAGUAUAUUGACAUUAGCUCAUGAAUAAGGGGCUCCCAACUCUGUGCCAGCAGGAGCGGUAAUACAGAGGCCUCAAGCGUUAUCCGGAUUCACUGGGCGUAAAGGGUGCGUAGGCGGUUAUAUUAGUCGGGUGUAAAAUCCUGGGGCUCAACCUCAGGCUCGCAUUCGAAACGGCAUAACUAGAGGAAGUGAGAGGUAAACAGAACUCUCGGUGUAGGGGUGAAAUCCGUUGAUAUCGAGGGGAAUACCAAAUGCGAAGGCAGUUUACUGGCACUUUCUUGACGCUGAGGCACGAAAGCGUGGGUAGCGAACGGGAUUAGAUACCCGGGUAGUC